UGGGGGAUAUUGCACAAUGGGCGAAAGCCUGAUGCAGCGACGCCGCGUGGGGGAUGAAGGCUUUCGGGUUGUAAACCUCUUUCGCUAUCGAACAAGGCCCGCUUAGGGUGGGUUGAGGGUAGGUGGAGAAGAAGCGCCGGCUAACUACGUGCCAGCAGCCGCGGUAAUACGUAGGGCGCGAGCGUUGUCCGGAAUUAUUGGGCGUAAAGGGCGUGUAGGCGGCUUGUUGCGCCUGCUGUGAAAACGCGGGGCUUAACUUCGCGCGUGCAGUGGGUACGGGCAGGCUUGAGUGUGGUAGGGGUGACUGGAAUUCCAGGUGUAGCGGUGGCAUGCGCAGAUAUCUGGAGGAACACCGAUGGCGAAGGCAGGUCACUGGGCCUUUACUGACGCUGAGGAGCGAAAGCAUGGGUAGCGAACAGG
This 420-nucleotide ribosomal RNA is filed under the name bacterium. Its description in RNAcentral is "partial 16S ribosomal RNA". It matches the Rfam family "Bacterial small subunit ribosomal RNA", at positions 355 to 776 of the family's 1533-position model. The record is from RNAcentral.